Homarus americanus (American lobster) is the source of this 875-nucleotide long non-coding RNA. RefSeq lists it as uncharacterized. The transcript is spliced from 2 exons. Lineage: Eukaryota; Metazoa; Arthropoda; Malacostraca; Decapoda; Nephropidae. The record is from RefSeq and is a predicted model, not a curated record.
CUAAUCAUGUGAAAUAAGCUGGGAUGUCUAAUCUUUCUGCAAAAUAAGCUGGGGUGUCUAAUAUUCAGGUGAUCCAAACAACUUCAAAACUAUUAGAUACAAGUUAUCACCUACAGGUCGUGCCCACUGGGUUCCCUCACGACACGGGCAGCUUGGUACACAGUGAUGGCCGUCUUCUGAUAACCUUCCCUGCUAUAAUGAACAUUCCUACCAGAGCUUUACUCAUGGCGUGCGCACUAAACCUGCAAUAUACAAGAGAAGAGGAACAGAAACGCUCACACUAGAUCAUACAGAGGCUCUUACCCCUCAUCGGAAUAUAUUAUGUUAACUAGAAUUUAUAAGGUGACUUUAUGUAUGAAUGGUGAAGACUUGUUGCCGUCUUCAGGGUGUUGUCCGUAUGUAAGAUUUUUAGAUUAUUUACCUGUACUUUUUUCUAAUCUUUAUUCCUGUCCAACCUGUAUUGUUGUUCACCCUGUAAUUUUGUCCAACCUGUAUUUUUCUUCACCCUGUAAUUUCGUCCAACCUGUAUUUUUCUUCACCCUGUAAUUUCGUCCAACCUGUAUUUUUCUUCACCAUGUAAUUUCGUCCAACCUGUAUUUUUUAUCUAACUUGUAUUCUCACCCACCCUGUACUCCUGUCCAACCUGUAUUUUUGUUCACCCUGUAAUUUUGUCUAACCUGUAAUGUCAUUCAACCUGUAUCCUCAACAACCUUGUAUUCUCACCCAAACUGUAUUCCUGUCCAACUUGUAUUUUGGCUUGCUCUGUAUUCUCACACACCCUGUACAUGAGUGGACCAAACUGUAAAAGCACAAGAAAAUUGGUGAUAUAUCAAUGUGACAAAACAACGAACAAGAGAUAAAUGUAAGAAUUUUAA